UUUUCUUCCCAAAAUAUCUCACUAAAUUCUAAUAGAUUUUUAUUAUCUUUCUCACAAAAUAUUUUGGGAAUCAUAGGAAUAUUUGUGCUUGUGACUUUUAGCUAUCGGAUCAUCUCAAGAAACGUGCAGCAUUAUUGACGGUGUGUUUCAUUAAGUCUCUUUUACUAAUAUUGCAUAAAUUUUAAGGCGAUUCGAUGGCUAAAAACAUAUAAGCACGUUGAGCUCCUGU
Molecule: long non-coding RNA, 229 nt
Filed under: Ananas comosus (pineapple)
Lineage: Eukaryota; Viridiplantae; Streptophyta; Magnoliopsida; Poales; Bromeliaceae
Description: long non-coding RNA (ACOM_LNC034374)
Source: RNAcentral